GGGGUCGACUGGUUUUGACAGCAGGUCUAAUUGAAAUGUAAGCAUGCCGAGCUAUGGAAUUAAUGCUCGUAAAUCUCUAUUCCAACCAUUUUAAAUGGCGAGAAUAACUACGCUCUAGCUGCGUAAUCUGAAUUAUAGUAGGAUUUAACGCCACGUUUCCGCAAGGCGGAAAGGCUGGAUGUCUCUGGAUAGCCCUUGUUGACGGCGAUCUUAAUAGAGGCACCAUAAAAGUCAACAUAGAAACCUAUCUUGCUUCGGUGCGGUUUUAAAUCUUUAAGAAGCUAAGCGUGUUGUGGGCGGUUUCCGGUCAGCCACACGUCUAAAACCAAACGGAAACUAAGCAUGUAGAAAGCCUUUUGGUUGCUUGUUUGGACGAGAGUUCGAUUCUCUCCGACUCCAC
This 400-nucleotide transfer-messenger RNA is filed under the name Neptunitalea lumnitzerae. Its description in RNAcentral is "Neptunitalea sp. Y10 transfer-messenger RNA". It matches the Rfam family "transfer-messenger RNA". From Rfam's summary of the family: Bacterial tmRNA, also known as 10Sa RNA or SsrA, is named for its dual tRNA and mRNA-like properties. Its role is to liberate the mRNA from a stalled ribosome. The record is from RNAcentral. Lineage: Bacteria; Pseudomonadati; Bacteroidota; Flavobacteriia; Flavobacteriales; Flavobacteriaceae.